AAACAAAAUUUGCAAGUGUCAAAGCAAAUUUGAAAGUGUAGAAAAAAAUACAGCUGUUAAAAGUUUGAAACGACAUGUGUUAAAGUUUAAGGUAGUGUUUGGUUCGGGAACAAGGGGGGGAAUAAGCCCUUGUUCCCCCUUUGUUCCCAAACGCAAUGUUUGGUUUCCGGAAACAAUAGUUCCCAGGAAUCUGGAACUAACUGGUAUAAGGCUGGAACUGCUGUUCCACCCGUUUCCUGGAACAAGCUUGUUCCUUGAUGAGAACAAGAUUAAUUAAAAUCUAAAUUUAAUUUUAAUGGCAGUAAAUUAUUAAUUAAUCUAAUUAAUAUAUUUAAAUCAUUACUUAUUACUUUAAUAAUUAAAUAUUUUAAAUAAUUUAUUAUUUAUAAUUAAAUAUUAAUAAUUAGAUAAUUAUUAUUAUUAAUUUAUUAUUUAUAAUUAAUUAUAAAUAAUUAAUAAUAUUCAUUAUUUU
RNAcentral lists this long non-coding RNA (472 nucleotides) under Ananas comosus (pineapple). RNAcentral's name for it is "long non-coding RNA (ACOM_LNC019031)". The record is from RNAcentral. Lineage: Eukaryota; Viridiplantae; Streptophyta; Magnoliopsida; Poales; Bromeliaceae.